UGGGUAACCUGCCUCAAAGAGGGGAAUAGCCUCCCGAAAGGGAGAUUAAUACCGCAUAAUAUGUUUAGGUCGCAUGACUUUAACAUCAAAGGAUUUUCUUUUAGAAAUUCCACUUUGAGAUGGACCCGCGGCGCAUUAGCUAGUUGGUGAGGUAACGGCUCACCAAGGCAACGAUGCGUAGCCGACCUGAGAGGGUGAUCGGCCACAUUGGAACUGAGACACGGUCCAGACUUCGUAGGAGG
RNAcentral lists this ribosomal RNA (242 nucleotides) under uncultured bacterium. Its description in RNAcentral is "partial 16S ribosomal RNA". It matches the Rfam family "Bacterial small subunit ribosomal RNA", at positions 118 to 347 of the family's 1533-position model. The record is from RNAcentral.